GUGUGACAAACCAGCUGUGGUUUAUAUUUGUUUUAGCCUGAGAAUCUGGGCUGGGGAAAUUGAGGACACACACACACACACACACACACACACACACACACAAACACACACACACACACACACACACACACACACAUAAAAACUGCUUUUGGGAAUACAGGACCCAUUCCUGCCAUUUGCUCCAAAAUCAGACAUCAGAAGACUAUAGAGAACGGUUCAGACUGCUGAAAGGAUUAUUGGUGCUCCCCUGCCCACCCUCCAAGAACUGUAUACAUCCAGAGUGAGGAAAAGGGCUCUGGAUCCCUCACAUUCAAGCCAAUCUCCUUUUUGAACUUUUGCCAUCUGGUCAACGCUACAGAGCACUGAAUACCAGGAAAGUCAGGCACAAGAACAGUUUCUUUCCCCAGGCAAUCUACCUCAUGAACAGUUAAAUGUUCUCCCAUUGUGCAAUAAAAGAGCUGGCUCAAGCCCUGCUGUGUUACGCUCAUUUAAAGAGCACAGUGACCCUGGAACUCACAUGGAACAUGGCCCCAUUCAGUGUAAUACAAAACACCCCAACACAAUAUGGUCACCAGAAGAAAAAACAAACCACUGCCUGAACCAACUAUAUAAACAGCCAAUGCUUCAUCAGUAACUGAAAAUCUUCCAGGAAGCUUUUCCUGGAAAAGGAGACCUUGUCCAUGGUUCUCCAGGGGAUGUUGCCCUAAUUUUGGAUGAAAAUAGUGAUCAUUAUCCAGAGACAUCAGAUGCAUGGCAAAAAUCAGUCUGAGCCCUGGGCUGAAUUAAUCCAAAACAAAGCUUUCUUUGGCUUGUAUAAUAAUUUUGUUACUGAAGUUUUGUUUACAUUGUUCACGAGCAGCUGAAGGUUGUCAACUGAUGUGGUGAGAAUGAGAGAGCGUUUUGACCUAGAUUGUGGCGUGCAGUGAACGUUGUGUUGAGAAGCCAAGGACUUUGAAAUCUUUGAGUACAUGGAGUCUGUAGGUAAGCGGGCAUGUCACAGCCUGGUCUGUACACAUCCUGUAACAUUCAAAGAGAGCUAUUGCUGACCUGACUUGUCCUCCAUCCUGGUUCUUUUUGUCCUAUAGAAAAAUGAUGUCAGAAGGAUUUAUGGUAAGUGUUGGCCCUGCUUGUCCACAUCAUUGUGUGUGUAUUAAUUGCCCAAGCUUGACUCUCAGAAUUGCAAACGGUUCAUUUUGCCUAUUGUAGUCUAGCAGCAGCCCAGAUGAAUUGACUUAGAGCAUGUGUUUGAAGGCAGAUCAAGUUUUUGGACAAAUGUGAUUUUGACUCUUGCAAGCUGAAGCACAGAUGGUACAGGAUUGAAAAAUCCCAAGAACAUGCUGUCCCAGGAAAGCAGUUUUUUCCACACAUCUCUCUCUCUUUCUCUCUCUCUCUCUUCCUUUCUUUCUCUGUGUUUGAGAUGAGCAGGGAGCUGAAUCAAGUCUUUGUCCUUAGCCUAAGACACUGAAGAGGAUUAUCUAUAUGAAGGAGGGUUGCAUCAUAAGGUCCAUCAUGUUGAUGUCGCAUCACCAACCGAAUGCUAUGCUUUAUCCUGGUAGCCCCUCUAAUUUGUGAACAGUGUUAUAAAGUAAAACAAAGCUCUUUUCAUCAGAAAGAUACAACAGCAAAAUAAGAUGAUUACAAUAUAUUCAGUUUCAAGGUCACCCAAGCACCUGAUCUCACCCACUGUCCUGUUAGUGUCUGCUCUUGAACACAUUGCACAGUAGUUUAUUAACAAAAAGUUUAUAUCUACAGGCAAACAAAAAUCAUUCACUUUUACUGAGAAUAUUACAAUAUUCAGUAGUAGCUGACUGGGUUUAAAUGUACAGGUGUCCGUUUCAGGUAAUAACUGUAGUUUGUUUUAGCUAACGGUCAAUUAUAAGCACUUUGAUGCAGUUUCAUGUAUAUAAUUUGAGGAGAACUACUGUAUAUCUAAAACUAUGAUCUGUGACAUAAAAUUAAAUGCUGCCAAAAUGUCCUAAAGUCAACACUUGCUUUGCCAAUAAAGUGUCGUAAUCCUUAUGGGGUUAUGUAAGAUGCAGUCAUUCAGGUGUAUGUCCUAGACAUUCUCAACCUGAAUGAUAGUGUUACCAAUGUUACUGUAAAACAAGACAAGGCUUAUUGAAGUCAACAUAAUGUUUUCCUUCUGACUCAGUUAUUGUGUUACAUAUGAAUAGGUACACUUAUUUUUCAAAGCACUUGGAAGAAAUAAAUGGCUGGUUGUUUUAAUAUUGUGUGUGUAAAGCUCACCUGCAGAACUUUAGCAACAUUAUCAACCCGCAGCAAUAUUAUCUGGCAGAUUGUGGUUGAGAGGAGUGGUUUAAGUUAGGAAUAUCUUGCCUGUGGGUUCUUCUUUCCCAUUCAG
Cyprinus carpio carpio is the source of this 2362-nucleotide long non-coding RNA. The record is from Ensembl. NCBI's taxonomy places the organism in Eukaryota, Metazoa, Chordata, Actinopteri, Cypriniformes, Cyprinidae.